GACGAACGCUGGCGGCGUGCUUAACACAUGCAAGUCGAACGAAGAGCGAUGGAAGCUUGCUUCUAUCAAUCUUAGUGGCGAACGGGUGAGUAACGCGUAAUCAACCUGCCCUUCAGAGGGGGACAACAGUUGGAAACGACUGCUAAUACCGCAUACGAUCUGACCUCGGCAUCGAGGAUAGAUGAAAGGUGGCCUCUAUUUAUAAGCUAUCACUGAAGGAGGGGAUUGCGUCUGAUUAGCUAGUUGGAGGGGUAACGGCCCACCAAGGCGAUGAUCAGUAGCCGGUCUGAGAGGAUGAACGGCCACAUUGGGACUGAGACACGGCCCAGACUCCUACGGGAGGCAGCAGUGGGGAAUCUUCCGCAAUGGACGAAAGUCUGACGGAGCAACGCCGCGUGAGUGAUGACGGCCUUCGGGUUGUAAAGCUCUGUUAAUCGGGACGAAAGGCCUUCUUGCGA
RNAcentral lists this ribosomal RNA (458 nucleotides) under Veillonella parvula. RNAcentral's name for it is "bacterial SSU rRNA". It matches the Rfam family "Bacterial small subunit ribosomal RNA", at positions 28 to 463 of the family's 1533-position model. The record is from RNAcentral. Lineage: Bacteria; Bacillati; Bacillota; Negativicutes; Veillonellales; Veillonellaceae.